ACAACCCUACGAUGCGCGUGACUCGCCGUUUAAGUAUUGAGCCAACACCAAUACUUAGGGAAUCCUGCUCUGGCUGUAGCUUGUAAGCCUCCUGGGAGAGGACACAAAAAGCAGUUGGGGGGAUACCCACCCUGUUGAGACAGGUUCAAAACACACGGCCUCACGGCAUAAGUGGGGUAUUU
This 182-nucleotide non-coding RNA is filed under the name Bacillota bacterium. Its description in RNAcentral is "6S RNA". It matches the Rfam family "6S / SsrS RNA". From Rfam's summary of the family: E. coli 6S RNA was the first non coding RNA to be sequenced, but its function was unknown until recently. It consists of 184 nucleotides that fold into an extended hairpin structure with a large single-stranded internal bulge. The record is from RNAcentral. Lineage: Bacteria; Bacillati; Bacillota.